This 477-nucleotide ribosomal RNA is filed under the name uncultured bacterium. Its description in RNAcentral is "bacterial SSU rRNA". It matches the Rfam family "Bacterial small subunit ribosomal RNA", at positions 26 to 507 of the family's 1533-position model. The record is from RNAcentral.
AGGACGAACGCUGGCGGCGUGCCUAACACAUGCAAGUCGAGCGGGGUUGAAGCGAGGGGUAACUCGAGUUUCACCUAGCGGCGGACGGGUGAGUAACGCGUGGGCAACCUGCCUCAAGGACUGGGAUAACAGCUCGAAAGGGCUGCUAAUACCGGAUAAGCCUAUGGCCUCGCAUGGGGCCAUGAGCAAAGGGGAAACCCGCCUUGAGAUCGGGCCCGCGUCCCAUCAGCUAGUUGGUGAGGUGAAGGCUCACCAAGGCGACGACGGGUAGCCGGCCUGAGAGGGUGACCGGCCACACUGGGACUGAGACACGGCCCAGACUCCUACGGGGGGCAGCAGUGGGGAAUCUUGCACAAUGGGCGAAAGCCUGAUGCAGCGACGCCGCGUGAGCGAAGAAGGCCUUCGGGUUGUAAAGCUCUGUCUGGAGGGACGAAGGAAGUGACGGUACCUCCGGAGGAAGCCACGGCUAACUACGUG